AAAGUGAUUACAACUUAAGAUAAGACGAAAUUCCGUUAGAUAUAUGUUAGAGAAUCCUAUUGCUACUCUAUGCGGGAUCAACCCAUCUGUAAAAUUGUAGUUCAUAACACAAAACUCUAUCAUUCUGUUUUGCCACUUUUCCUUAUGAUACCUUUCAAAGCUUUUAACCUGUGAAUCUUUUCUUUGGAGUUUUGAAAAUUUUUUGAAA
Molecule: unclassified non-coding RNA, 208 nt
Filed under: Hevea brasiliensis (rubber tree)
Lineage: Eukaryota; Viridiplantae; Streptophyta; Magnoliopsida; Malpighiales; Euphorbiaceae
Source: RNAcentral